GAAAACAAUGUGGUGAUAUGGCCAUAAAAAACAAUGUACUACAGUCCAGUCUCUAGAACGUACAAUACUCCACCUCUUCCUCCUCCUCUCGGUUCAUCUCCAUCAUAUUCCACAAAUGACAUCCAGAAAUGAUCGAGUAGCAAAGACAUACAUAACUAAGCAUAUUUCAUUACAUCCACAAAUGACACUUGUUCAAAUGACUUAAAAAUCUAGCGAUUCGAAUGACAUGAGUUCAAUCUAGAAGCUCAAGCUCGAGCAUACAUUUUCUACAAUGGAAAAAAAGAAUGAAAACGUAUAAGAUGUUCAAUUUGUGAGUCACGGUCAGGAUUAGGCUUCAGUUGAAAAUCCGAGGAUCCCGCCCAAUUCUCCAACACACCUUUCGUUUCGCCGAACCAGCCCAUUGAGCAUGGCGUUCCAGAAUCUCUAACAUGCCUUGUGUGAUUGCCCAUCCAAUGACUUGUCCGGGUUUUCUUAAGUCCAGCUCGCGGAAUUCUUCUUUGCUCACAAAGAACCCAAUCUCCGUUGCCAAAGCUUGUCUGCAAGCAUAUUCCAUCUCAUGCAACUCAUUAAGUAUCUUCUUUUUUUCUUUCACAAUCCUCUGGAAAACUUUUUUCUCCUUAAGAUCAGAAGGUUCCUCCAUAAAAGGAUACUUGUUGAAAUCCAUCAUGGCAGCAUUUACCUCAUCAUUGCUCUUGAACCAUGCUUCAAGCUCCCUCUUGAUACCAAGUUGUCGCUCCGCUACAACCUUCUCACAACCUACCGCCAGACUCAUAGAUGCAAUCUCACAACACUUCUCAUAUGCUAUAUUCAUCUCCGGGGUCCUGUUUUCCAUGCUACAUGAAAUGGAAUAAAACAUAACUUAACUCAAAUGAUACAAAACAAACACAAAGGAUAACUUAUUUAGAAUUACCUAAUACACAAAGUUCUCACUAGUUCAAAUGACAUAGGUUACAUAAAUGAUAAGGGUACAUGUCGUUACAGUCCAAAUGACAGUACAACAUCAUGUGUUUCAACCCCCUCUAUUCGUCCUUCAACAAGACAUCUUUGUCGUACGGCCCUGGGUUGCAACAAAUGACAUCAUUUCUUUCACGGGCCCAAGCCCAACGAGAUGCCCGACUAGGUAUCGUCGAUGAUGGUUGCCUAACUAGCCAGUCAAUGAUCUGGCCAGGGUUGUUAAAGUCCAUUGAGGGAGUCCUGGAUUAAGGGGUCCUCGGACAGCCGGACUAUAUGCGUAUGCCGAACUGUUGGACUAUAAAGAUACAAGAUAGAAGACUUUGUCUCGUGUCCGGAUGGGACUCUCCUUUGCAUGGAAGGCAAGCUUGGCAGUUAGGAUGUGAAGAUUCCUUUCUUUGUAACCGACCCUGUGUAACCCUAGCCCCCUCCGGUGUCAAUAUAAACCGGAGGGUUUAGUAUGUAGGACAACAAUCAUAACCAUAGGCUAGCUUCUAGGGUUUAGCCUCUACGAUCUCGUGGUAGAUCAACUCUUGUAAUACUCAUAUCAUCAAGAUCAAUCAAGCAGGAAGUAGGGUAUUACCUCCAUCGAGAGGGCCCGAACCUGGGUAAACAUUGUGUCCCCCGCCUCCUGUUACCAUUAGCCUUAGACACACAGUUCGGGACCCCCUACCCGAGAUCCGCCGGUUUUGACACCGACAUUAGUGCUUUCAUUGAGAGUUCCACUAUGACAUCGAAGAUAGGGUUGAUGGAUCGCCCUGUUAUCAAGGACAACAUCACCUCCGAGGGAGCUCUGGCCUUGGUCCAAACCCUCCGGCUGGGUGGCUUCUUCUUGACCGCUCGUUCGGCUGUCGGGUCGACCAUGACUUCUCAAGUCAUCGAAAAUCGCCUCCGCGUCAGCUCAGAAUACGUUGAGCAGAUGGAUCCAACGGAGUUAUCGUCUUUAAACAAGCUCCUGGAUCGCAUCGCCGCUCUGGGGGUCGCUUCGGACUAUGAUCGGAUUGGGCUUAAAACCGAUCAGAGAGGAAUUGAAUCUUCGCUGAUCACCCAUCAGAUAGCAGUGGUGGAGGAGCGAUCCAACAACUCUUCCCCCGUAUUGAAGACAAAAUAUGUCCGGAUUUCGAGCUCACCAAGCCGGAUACAUGCUCGUGAGAAGACACGCCCUGAAUUCCGAACUUAGAAUCAGACUGUGGGCCAGAAAAAUUGGUUUACAUCUCGGAAACCGAAUUAUUAAGUUCGGAAACUCCUCAAGCUCUAGGUCACGAAUCAGAUCUGGGUUCGGACUUAAAUCCACCCACCCGCCCAGACUCAAGCGACCUUUCCCGCAUCAGACAACAGUCAAGAGAUUGUACAUCGCUUUUGGGCCAGAUUCCUCAUUGUCAAGGACAAGGUCAAAGUCUGUUGCGAUGAAGACGCAAUCUCACUAUUCCGCAAAAAUUGCACGAACAAGGGAUUACUUAACGCCAUAAAUCGCCGUCACAUAUCACAUUUUGAUGACUUGGCGACCAUAGUACAGAAGUACUACGCGAUGGAAAGUGCAUGGAAAACCCAGGCAACCUUUUGGGAUAUGUUGGCUCUCGCUAAACCCCUCGUCCGAACAAAAAGGGUGCACCCUCAUAGGUCGCCUGACCCAAUCUCAAAGAAAUCAAAGCCCACUGCAGGGCGCACAACUAUUUUGGAAGGGUGGCUCGAUAGGCCAUGCAAAAUACACACCACAUCGAAUACCGUACCAACACACAACCUUAGAGCAUGUUGGAUACUUCGGCAGGUGGCCAAGAGCGGCGAGGAUCUCCUCAUAAAAAACACCGCAGGGCAACAUCCCACAUAACAUAACACUACAGUAUUGACAGUCUUCGAGACUUUCGCCUCAGGCAACAGGCGCAAGAGAGCACUCCGUGGCCUCGCUGAAAUCUGCCAAGUCACAGAAAUAAACCCCUGGAACGACAUGGCCAUAACUCUCAGCGCCAGCGACAAACCGCAAUUCAGAACAGUCCGGGCACCAGCCGCUUUGGUCCUCAGUCCAAUCAUGGACGGCUUCCGGCUUACCAAAGUGCUCAUGGACGGCGGUAGCGGAUUAAACCUCAUUUACGAGGAAACUCUCAACAAAAUGGAACUAGACAGGAGCCGCAUUGAGCAAAGCAGCACAACCUUCUGAGGAAUUAUUCCUAGCCGGGAGGCAAGAUGCGCUGGAAAGAUCACACUUGAUGUGGUAUUCGGCAUGCCGGAAAUUAUCGGUCUGAAGAAAUAACCUUUCAGGUGCCCCCCUUCACCAGUGGAUAUCACGCCUUGUUAGGGCGGGAUGCGUUUGCAAGCUGCCAAGCCAUACCCCAUUACGGGUACAUGAAGCUCAAGAUGUCGGGGCCCAAUGGAAUUAUCACCCUUGCCAGUGAUCCGGACACGGCACUCCGUGUCGAAAAUAAAACAGCGGCCUUGGCCCUUGAAGCAUUGUCUGAAGCCCUCACGGCCGAAGAAUUAACUGCAUUAUGCUCCAUAGUGGAUAGGGACGACGUGAUACUCGAUAAGCAAUCCAAGUCCACCUCCUUCAAACCAGCGGACGAAAUAGUCAAAUUCCAAGUCCGUCCAACGGACUCCUCGAAGACAGCAUCCAUCGGGGCACAGCUGGACCCCACAAUCGACGCCGCACUACGGACGUUUCUACACGAGAAUUGGGAUAUUUUCGCCUGGCACCCUUCUAAUAUACCAAGGAUCCCACGCAGGCUGGCCGAACACAGCCUCAACAUACUGAAGGGAUACAAACCGGUCAAGCAAAGACUAUGGUGCUUUUCAGAACCCAAACGACAAGCCAUGGGAGAGGAACUAGCCAAGUUACUCGAGGCUGGAUUCAUCAGAGAAAUAAAACACCCGGAUUGGCUAGCAAACUUGGUGAUGGUACCAAAGAAGGAUAAAUCCUGGCGCCUACGUGUCGAUUUCAAAGACCUCAACAAGGCCAAGGGUCCCUUCCCUCUCCCACACAUCGAUCAGAUUAUCGAUGCUACCGCGGGACACGACUCACUGUUUCAUCGACGCAUACUCCGGAUACCAUCAAAUCAAGAUGGUGGAGUCCGAUCAAGCCGCAACGGCAUUUAUAACCUCAUACGGGCCUUUCUGCUUCGACACUAUGCCUUUCGGGAUAAAAAACGCUAACGCCACCUACCAACGCAUGAUUCAAACAUGCCUGGAGAGACAAAUCGGCAAAAUAGUUGAAGCAUACGUCGAUGACGUAGUCAUCAAGACCAGAUAUGCCGAGUCUUUAAUAGACGAUCUAAGGCUCACAUUCGAUAACCUCCGAACAUAUGACAUUAAGCUCAACCCAGAAAAAUGCGUUUUCGGCGUUCCCGCCGGAAAGCUGCUGGGAUUCAUCGUUUCCAAUAGAGGAAUUGAAGCAAACCCAGCCAAAAUACGAGCUUUGUCAUAGUUGGCUACCCCAACAGAUCUCAAACAAAUCCAGAAACUAACUGGAUGCAUGGCAGCUUUAAGCCGCUUUAUCUCCAGAUUGGGAGAAAAGGCAUUGCCACUUUAUCACCUCCUUCGACGAAACGAACACUUCAAGUGGACGAACACAGCAAUGGUCGGACUGGAGGAAAUAAAGGCUCUUUUAGCAAGCAACCCAAUCCUGGUCGUGCCGAACGUUGGCGAACCUAUGUUGUUAUACAUAGCCGCAACGCACCAAGUUAUGAGUGCGGUGCUCAUCGUCAAACGAGAGGAGGACGAACACAAAUUUAUGGUUUAGAAGCCGGUACACUACGUAUCCACUGUCCUCACACCAUGCAAAUCCUGGUACCCACAUUAUCAAAAAAAGCAUACGCGGUCUUCAUGGCAUCCCGGAAAUUAUGACACUACUUUCAAGAGUGUUCAAUCACGGUGGCCUUCGAAGUACCACUUAAUGACAUAACAAACAACCGCGAUGCCACGGGCUGGAUUGCCAAGUGGGCCAUAGAGCUCCUCCCAUUCGACAUAACAUAUAAACCACGGCGAGCCAUUAAAUCCCAAGUACUGGCGGACUUCGUCGUUGAAUGGAAGAGUACGGCACAUACUCCAACUGGAUCAUGCACUUCGACGGCUCUAAAAUGCUGGCAAGUCUGGGAGCAGGCGUCAUCCUCACAUCCCCCACUGGAGAUACAGUCCAAUAUGUGAUCCAAAUAUUAUACACAAACUCCAACAAUGCAGCCGAAUACUAGGCUCUAUUCCAUGGUCUUCGGAUGGCCGUCUCCAUGGGCAUUCAGCGCCUAGAAGUGCGUGGGGAUUCAAACCUCGCAAUAUCUCAAACAAAUGGAGACUUUGAUACCAAAGAUCCAAAAAUGGCGGCAUAUCGUAAUGUCGUACUUAAGAUGUCAGCUCGGUUCGAGGGGCUCGAAUUUCAUCAUGUGGUUCGAGAAAACAAUCAAGCGACAGAUGUCCUCGCCCGUAUUGGCGCUAAACGCGACCUGUCCCACCUAAUAUCUUUCUGGAAAGGCUUUUCAAGCCAUCCGUAGUGUGGCAAGGAGAGACCGGCAACAUCAGUCCGGAUCCGACCACAACCCCAGAACCCGAACACACUGAAAUAAUCGGGGGGCUCUGCCACCGAAAUAACACCCUCGGCCCAUCUCAUCAUGGCUGUUAUCGCCCCAUGGACCGAACCCUUCUUGGCCUACCUUAAUAGGCACGAACUUCACGAGGAUCAAAAUGAGGCACGCUGCAUUGUGCGGCGCUCCAAAGCCUACAAAGUCCAUGAGGGAGAGCUUUAUAAAAAAAGCGCUACCGGGGUACUUCAAAGAUGUAUCUCCGAGGAGGAAGGGCGGCAGCUCUUGGCUGAAAUCCAUGCCGGCCUCGGCGGUCACCACACGGCAGCUCGGGCCCUUGUAAGCAAGUCCUUCCGUACAGGUUGUUACUGGCCGACGGCCUGAGAAGACGCACAAGACCUUGUCCAACAUUGCGUCGGAUGCCAGCUUUUCGCCAACCAAAGCCAUAUGCCACCCACCGCCCUACAAACAAUCCCCAUAACCUGGCCUUUCGUGGUCUGGGCGCUUGAUAUGGUUGGACCCCUUAAAGGACGAAGCCAUAAGAAAAGAUACUUGUUGUUCAUGGUGGACAAAUUCACCACAUGGAUAGAAGCCAAACCAGUCAAAACGGCCGAAUCCGGACCGGUGAUAGACUUCAUAUCGGGUGUAGUACACCGUUAUGGUGUCCCCCACAGCAUCAACACCGACAACGGCUCCAAUUUCACAGCCGAUGAGGUGAAAACUUGGUGCCGCAAGAUGGGCAUUAAGCUCGAUUACGCCUGCAUCUAUCACCCUCAAACAAACGGUCAAGUCGAUCGAGCGAAUGGUCUUAUUAUGAGCGGCAUUAAACCUAGACUAGUGCGAUCCUUAAAAGAAUCAGACAUGCACUGGGUUAGGGAGCUUGACUCCGUACUCUGGGGGCUGCGGACCACGCCAAAUCGCACUACCGGAUACAUACCCUUCCUCAUGGUGUACAGCGCACAGGCUGUGCUGCCCUGCGAUAUUAUUCAUGACUCACCUAGAGUGCGCAUGUACAAAGAGAGAGAGGCCGAGCUCGAUCGGCAGGAUAGUUUAGAUGCCCUGGAAGAGGAGCGCGACGUCGCAAAAGCCCGUUCCGCAUUCUAUCAACAACAGGCUCGCAGGUAUCAAAGCAGAGAAGUACGGGCCAAGACUUAUAAUAUUGGCGAACUCGUUCUACGUCUACCGGAGAAGAAAAAGGACAAGCUCAAACCCAAGUGGGAGGGUCCCUUCAUUAUUGACAAAUUUCUCACCGGAGGAGCGUACCGACUGCGGGAUGCAUCCGAUAAUCGCCUCGAGCCGAACCCAUGGAACGCAGCCAGACUCCAAAGAUUCUACUCCUAGUGCCGAACUCCCCGUUCAUCUCCUUCCCUCUGUUGCUUUUGAUUUUAUUUUUAACCCUCCUCCCGCCUUUCCUUUUUGAAAAGCUCUAGCGCUUUAUUGUGGCUAGACUACACACUUGUAACGCACUAAUUUUCAAGUCUGUGCGCUCAUUAUACCUGGGGGCUUCUUAUACAGAAGCUUAAUAUAAUUAUCUUCAGGGCAUUAAGCCCAUUGCAUAUGCGUCCUUUCUCCAUAUGCACCUUUUCUUCGCCACUAUAUGCAUCGAUAUGACUUAAGUUUUGGCCAAGCUGGGUUGCCUGGCUCCUGUGCUUAUGCCCUACAUUCCCGUUAGUUCGGCUAGGGCAUAAAGGGAGCACCUCUGCGAUUGGUACUGCCGGGUACUUCGGACAUGUACCUUAGACUGGGUGAAGCCGAAAGCUAGCAUUCUUAAGGGAAUAUUCGGUUGGUGGACUAAAGAUGUUUUUUACCUAUCAUAAUACAAAACCCCAAAUGUUACAUAUCCUGCGCUUUUUAAUCGCGGUUCGGACAUGCACUUUAAUGCAUGUGUACCCAGGGAAAGGAACCCUUAAUGGAACUAUUCUCUCUGGAAGAUGUUUCUUCCUAACCAUGUAAUAUAACAUAGCUAGUUGGGUACUUGUAUGUUCAAGCAAUUAUGACCCCUACGCCUGGUUUCCAUGCAUACCCCGGUUUAUAUUACCGAGCGGGUAUUCGGAAACACUCCGAACUGUCGGGUCCAAAGGCCGAAGUGAAAAGGUCCGCCAUGACAAAUGUUUUACAAUCCGGCUAGGGACAAAUAUGUCAAUUGAAGUACAUAGUCAUUUAGACUCAAAUGCUUCUUCUUCUAUGCCAUCCAACAGGUUGUCUAGCCUACAAUCCUGUUGGGAAUAUUUUGCAGCUAAUCCUACCUGGUCAUAUACCAGACUAAUGGGACUUUCUUUCCCAUCUGACCCUACAGGACCGACUCGAGCCAUAUGAUUCGGGUCAAGCUUGGUAUACCGUGUCUUCACCAUGGCCCAAGCCUCUCUCGCCCCUUCUCAACAGGAAGAUACCUUCCAUAGUCGGGAAUGCCGCCGCGCUCCCUUGAAAGGAUGAGCAAGCUCCCCCAUACUUCCUGGUAGGGAGGCGGAUGGCCACAAGGCCUUGGCGACACUCCGCAUGACCUGCCGAACUUGCUCGUGUAGUUGCGAAAGCUCUUUUAGCAGAUCACCUGAGGAUCCGAGCAUCUCCUCUUCGGGGCGGCCCGUCAGCAUACCUGCAGACAUAAACUCUGUUAGUUCCUAUCUUUACCGAACUAUGUAAAUGUUCGUUUGAGAACAUACUAAAAAUGUCGCGCUGAAGCCUUUUAUUUUCCUUCACGGAGUCAGCCAGCUGGGCCCAAACAUCUUUCAAUUCUUCACCCAGCUGGUUAUUAGCAUCUUGGAGCUUGUUAUUCUUCUGUAUGACCCGUGUAAGUACACGCUCACCAGCGGCUGGUUGCCUUUGUGCCUCUUGCUCACUCUCUUGAGGGGUUCCCGGAUUAUGUUCCGGAUUAUCUGAGGAUUUUGGUCAUCAGAUAUUGUUAGCGUUACUAGUUUAUAAACACAAUAUUGUUUUUUCUCAAUUCUGGAAUACAUACCAAUCGAUGCCUCUUCGGAUCUUGAUAGCUUGGCCAUAGCGACCAUUAGCUGGGUUCGACACUCGUCCAGCUCUUGAGACAACAGGUUGUUCUUCUCCGAGAGAACCUACAUGUACAAUGAUCCUUAAAUCAGUUGUACCAACUGUUUUAAGUCUCAGGGGCUACUGAUAUACAUAAUUAUCAGAUUUUUAUAUUUACCCGUAUAUCUUUCAAAUACUAGUCCAUGGCUCUAGCAAGCCCAUCCUGAGUGGCUCGGAUGUACGCAUCACCCGAGCUGAAGGCAUUAAAAGCCUCAUCUGAAAAACCAGAGUCGCGGAGUGCGGCCCGCCGGCGUCGAUGAUUCAUGGCGCUCUCCACUUCAAAAUUUGUAACAGACAUUUUGUCUGAAUCCUCUGUAUGAGGACAGUCCAGUGUCACUCCCGUGUUGGCCUCUGUCCUCGAGACCUGGCUUGGAAUCCGGCUAGUGGAGGCACGGUUGGCAGGAUCCCCGGACAUAGUUCUGCGGAUGUUCUUUCUGCUAAUACACAAUGGAUAGUGUCAAACUUUAAGAUGACGAACCACGGAGCGUAUUUAAAACCAUACCUCCUUGAGGACGGCUCCGAUGUAUUUUUGUUCGCCUUCCUUUUUAAAGGCCUACCCGGCACAGGUGCCCCUUGCUGGCGAGUCGCCUCGGGUUCGGCUUGGCGCGCCGAUCGUCUUCCCUUUAGAGCAUAAGAAUUGCACGGUGGGUAAGACGGAAGGAAUAAAUCUUUUCCGGAAGAUAAGUCUCUUGUUUACUUACAUGCGAUACAGGGAGGAGGCGGGGAUAGUCAGCAAUGAUGGCCACCUCUGUGCCAUCACAGCUCGCGUGAUGAAACACCCCUUCCACGAGCUCCACGAAUAUAUCUGAAUCCUCUUCGAAUUCGGGGUCAAGGGCCCGGUUGCAGUCCUCUGGCUGUGGUGCUGGGCUGUGGAACUCCCUAGUUACCUUCCGCCAUUCCUGUUAUAAAUAGACGGAAAUAAAUAUUUAUAAAAACAAAGGCUCAGGGAAUGAAUAGAGUAGAGUGAUGGAUGGCAGCUCACCCAGCUGAGAGGGUUGUACAUGGAAAAGCCAUCCUGUGGUUUAAUGCGGACGAACUCCUCUCUUUCCCCCUUGUAUAAAUCGGACAGUAUUUCCACCAGAGCGGUGGUAGAGUCCGGACCCUUUCGACCGCAGCGGGUGGCGUCGUCUUCUCCAUUGAAGUGACACAUGGGAUGCCCUCGGUAUUGGAGUGGCUGAACCCGCCGCAUUAUGGAUAUCGCCAUAACCUCGACUAUUGACAAUCCGGACUGAGUGAGUAUUCUUAUCUUGCUCAUCAAUUGAAGGACCUCCCUGCUAUCUUCCUCUCUGGGGCUCCGGGGACGCCAGUUAAGGCGUUUUUUCAGCAGAGCAUUUGUAAACUCAGGAAGACUCAUUCGGAUUGGGUCGGGAAGGGAGACGUUCUCAAUAUAAAACCACUCGGAGGGCCAUUCUUCGGGUGCUUUCUUCGGUGUGCCAGAUACGUAUCCGGUCCCGGCGAUGCGCCAUAUCUCGGCUCCACCCACUUGGAAUAUCGAUCCCCCUUGAUUACGGGGGACGAGGCAGAAUAGCUUCUUCCAUAGCUCAAAAUGGGCUUCGCAGUCCAAAAAUACUCACAAAGAGCGACGUAGCCUGUGAUAUGCAUGAUGGAGGCAGGUGUGAAGUUGUGGAGCUGGAGGCCGUAGAACUCUAGAAGCCCGCGGAGGAACGGAUGGAUUGGAAAUCUGAUGCCCCUUAGUAAGUAGGAAACGAGGUAUACUCGUCCCCCCCUGGAUGGGUUGGGGAACCUCUCUGCUUGCUCCCGCCCGUCAAAGGAAGCCAAUCCGGCUCGAACGGGGACUAGUUACGCGGGGGGUAGGUACCCUUGGGUCUGCAACUUCACUAAUCGGCCAUGGGAUACGGAAUACUUCUCCCAAUUUCCCGAUUUGGUGUUGCGGGAGCGAGAGGAAGAGCUGCGAGCACCGGCCAUGUUGGAGUGGUUUUUUCGGGCACGCUCUGAUGAUUCCUCGCUUGGGGAAGAUGGUGUGGAUUGGAUCUGAAGAUCCCCGUCUCUUUAAUAGACGGUUUAUUUACAUGGGUAGGGUGGCAAAUGUAAAAAUGCCCUGACUUCUCGCAUUCGCUCAACACGUGGAGGCUGGGACUGUUAAGGUGCAGAAGCCGAUGAGCAUAACAUUAAAUGGGGAACCGGGCACUGCAAUUUGCAACAGGUACUUUGAAGAAUUCGGAGAAGGAACCUGCCUUGCAAUGCCAAAGACAAUCUGCGUGCAGGACUCAGCGUCAUUGAAGCCUGGUUCGGGGGCUACUGAGGGAGUCCUGGAUUAAGGGGUCCUCGGACAACCAGACUAUAUGCGUAUGCCGGACUGUUGGACUAUGAAGAUACAAGAUAGAAGACUUCGUCUCGUGUCUGGAUGGGACUCUCCUUUGCGUUCAAGGCAAGCUUGGUAGUUAGGAUAUGAAGAUUCCUUUCUCUGUAACCGACCCUGUGUAACCCUAGCCCCCACCGCUGUCUAUAUAAACCGGAGGGUUUAGUCCAUAGGACAACAAUCAUAACCAAAGGCUAGCUUCUAGGGUUUAGCCUCUACGAUCUCGUGGUAGAUCAACUCUUGUAAUACUCAUAUCAUCAAGAUCAAUCAAGCAGGAAGUAGGGUAUUACCUCCAUCGAGAGGGCUCGAACCUGGGUAAACAUUGUGUCCCCCGCCUCCUGUUACCAUUAGCCUUAGACGCACAGUUCGGGACCCCCUACCCGAGAUCCGCCGGUUUUGACACUGACAUCCAUCUCAUUCACUCCAUCCCUUGUUCCACACAAUGCAAUUUGCCUUGCAAGAGCGCGUCUAUGAAUUUUCUCUUUCUUCUUCAGAUUGCUUAUGUUUUUCUCUUUAGCUUGGUAUAACUUAACUUUCUCAUCGUCGCACUUGGACACAUAAUACUUUGAAAAUUCUGUACAAGCCGCAUUCAACGCAUCGUCGGCUUUGACCCACAAGUCCAUCUUUUCCUCAAUGACUGCAGGUUCACGCUUCGCCGCCGCCUCCGCAGAAGUCUCAACAAAGAUGAUCGAUCCCAUCCUACAGGUCGAGGGAUUACAAUAACGGUCAUCCAAGGAAAAAAUCCUAACCGUCUCUUGACAAAACUAUAACCCUAGGACUAGAUCGAGCUACAAUUCGAGAGGUAACUACUAUAACGUUCGUCAUAUAGGCAUUUACUUAAGCAUAACCCUAACCAUAACCUUAAAUCUAACCAUAACAUUAAACCUAACUCUGACAAAACCCUAAAUGAUAGUUCUUACUACCCAAACAAUGCUAGUCACACAAUACAUUGUCAAAGCACAAACAUUACCCUAAAUGCAUCAUAUACAUUGAUUUCACCACAACAAAACCAUGAACUAGGGUUUGCAACAAAAUGGGCAAAAUACAAGAUUCCAACCAACAAAAUCAAGGGGGGGUGAAGGGAGGUACCUUGGGUGAUGCAAAUGCCCCGAAUCCACCGGACAAAUCUCAAGCAAUGGAGGGGGAUCUAGUGGGUGAUUUGGUGGGGGAGAAGACGGGAGAGAGCUUGAGCUCGAAAGAGGAAUGGGGUGAAUGAGUGGGUGGGGGAGCAAAGCCUCCACCCCUCAAAACCUUAUCCAGGACCCUACCGCCAUGUAGCCCGGCGGUAGGUUGAAAGAGUCUACCGCCAGCGUCUGCGGCAGUAGGGCCCUUUGCCACGUCAGCCCCGUUAACUGACAGACGGGCGUCAACGGAACCUACCGCCAGGCAGGGCGGCGGUAGCCUGUGUAAAGCUACCGGCAGGGCCUCCGGCGGUAGCAAAAAGGUCAAAUCUCGAAAUUAUUUCAGACCGGGGUCAGAUCCUGUUAAACUACGUGAAAAGGGUCAAAACACGAAAGUUUUGCCGCAGUGGGGCGGCACCUGGGCAGCCUCGCCGUUCAGACUCGUUCACCUGUUUUUUCAGUAAGUUGUACUACUAUAUGUAAAACUAGGAUAUCUUCAUAUCUUUUAUCCUUUCUCCUGUGAUAACUCAUGGCGACGGAGUGAUAGGCUGCUGUUAUGGCUAACCCAACCACUACAAAAAAAAGAUAAUAACCACUAGUAGUACUAAUUCGGUCACCAACAAGAAGAUGACGGGUAAUGAGUGCAAUGAAGGGAAAAGAGAGUAGCGAAUGUGUGAGCAGCGAGGGAGGCCAGGAGAAACCGCUCGUGAUAGGGAGGGCCCACCGACAGGCAGAGGCGCCAACGUACGGCAGCACGCUCGCUUUUGUCCAGUGGGUUGGUGUGCCUUCCUUUUGCAUUUACAACGAACCGAAGAUGGAAUGCAACACGAAUGGAUAGGAGCGUGUCCCUGUGCAUUCGAGUGCCAGUUACCAUAUGCCAACGCAAAGCAACGCCAGAUAUCCAUCCACUCCACACAGAGGUGGUGGUAGUGAUCCGCCCACUGCUACUCUACGCUGCCUGUUCCGGGGCUUCCUGUUUACCCUUUUGACCGGAGAUGAGGCAGGCAGGCGUGCACAGGGCGGACGAGACUGGGCAGUGGCUCUGGCCCCACGAUUCCCAGACGAUUCUUUUCUUCCCUCCGCCGGAGGUGUGGUGGGUCCGCCGUCGUCAUGUCACAUCGGCUGUGCGUUUCGCGCGGGCGCGGAGCCUACGCGGAUUCGCCGUCAAUUUCUGGCGGGAAAUAGCAUUUACUUUGGCGCCCUCGUUUCAACCCCCUACUCUUCUCUCCUGCUGCUAGUUUUCUCCGAACGCCGUUUUCCGAAACACUCACGAUCAGCUGUUGCUUGUACUACGUGCUGACGCACUCGGAGUAUAAAUCUUUCUGGUAUUUUGCUCUGAUCUCUUGUUCACAUCCAGGUGAACUGGGUCAAAUUUAAGCACCGCGGGGGCAUCCGUGGGCAUUUCUGGAACGCGCGAGCAAUCGCCACGAAAACGAUGGGUAUGGACAGGACGCAUCAUCAGUUCAGCAUGGCAACAACGCAACGGCGCUCCGGUAGGUGACAAAAGGGGAUCACGUCGUCGUCGGACCCGUCUGCUUCGAGGAGCGUGAAAUUUGCCUACAAAUACUACUAAAAAUAUCGCCUCGCGAAGCUUCCUGCCUGCCAGCUAAUGUCCAGCCCGGCGCGAUCCGUUCGACCUACUAGCCCACGACGUGGAUGUGUUCCCCUUUUUCCUUUGUGCUUCUUCUACCUUGACCGAAAAUGAAGUGAGAUGGUUUCUCAAGCAACCGUGAUCGAGCACGAAAGACGUGACCACGGAUACAAGUAUGGCCACCAGGCGUCCAAGCCCAACCUGCAUUUCUCGACCAAAAACUAGUAUAAACUAUCCAUUGCAAGUCUGGAAACACAGUAUAUGCACAUGUAGGAGUAGUACUUAAGAAUUACAGUCACGUUCACUACCUAGUUCCAUUUCGCAAUCUGACAUUUCAAGAAUUUUACAAGAAAAAAAACGAUGCCUUUCAUGAGUUUACAAGACAAAACGAACAUUAACAACAAAAUAAUAUUCCACAUUACAGGAUUUUUGACGAGAUAAUUAUACAUGACAGACUCCCACUGUUACAAUCUGCAGAGCAGCGGAAGGAACAGCAACUAGCUAGAACCAUGGACACAGACUUCACCGGCCGGAGUCACUGACCAGUGACCGACCACCGGAGACGCCGGGCACAAAAACGCCGGCUUAUAGUCAUCCGGGACGGACUAACCAAACCCUACCACAAGAGAACAAAUAAUAGAUCUACACAAUGAACAAGGAUUAGAGACUUAGAGCUAAUCCGCUAAAAGCCCGUGCAGAAUGUCUAAAAUGCCAUCUGCAUCGAGGCGACCAUUAACCUAGCAUCAUGACACGCUAAAGACGGUAGUAAUAGUAGCUGACGGACACAAACUGGGUGCUAAUUGGUGGCGAGAAGCGAAUCCCAGUCGAUCUCAUACGACGGGUACUUGGUGAGGGCGAAGCAGGCUGCCUCGUCCCAUGGCGCCUCGCUGAAGUCGAGCUGCUGCAUCUCUGGAACAUCUGCUGCGGUGGUGGCGGCGGGUGACGGUGACGACUCCGCAGACUCCAGCGAGGAUGACGCCUCGUCGGAGGAAGGCGAGGAGCAGUUGCUGGUGGGGGUGGACGACGUGGCUGCGGCGGUGGACGCGGAGACAGAGGCGGACUUCUUGGCGUUCUUGGAGGCGGUGAUGUUCUGGCAGAGGGUCUGGAGCUUGGCGUCAACGGAGGCAUGGAGCGGGCCGCGAGAGGCGGCGUUGUCGGGGAAGUUGAGGCGAGCUGCAUCGCCGCGGAGGCGGUAGGCGGCCUGGUCGUAGGCGAGGGCCGCCUCCUCGGCGGUGUCGAAGGUGCCGAGCCAGAGGCGGGUGCGGUUGCGGGGGAGACGGAUCUCCGCCACCCACUUGCCCCAGUGGCGCUGCCGCACGCCACGGUAGAGCUUCUGCGGCCGCGGCGGGGUCGCCGCUGCCACCGAAGCGGGCUUCAUGGGCUGGGACCGCGGUCCGAGCUGGCCCGGCUGGCCAGUCUGGCGCUGGAGGUGGAGGCGUGCCUGGAUGUAGUGCAUCUGGGCCGGGCUGAGCUCGGUCUGGGCCUGUGCCUGCACCCCGUACGGGUACCCACUGUAGGCGGCGUGGGGGAAGGAGAAUGGCGAGGUGGGACUAAGAUGGGAGUGGAGUGGAAGGGGGGCAGAGGCUUCUCGGAUAAAAGGCUCGAGUGCUCUCACCAGAUCCUCCCCGGACAGAUCUAUAGCUGCAGCCAUCUAAGGAACUAGGACGAACUUUUUUUUGGGGAUUUUUGUUUUCUUAGAAAGAUGAACAAGAAAGAAAUCUGCCUGGUUUCCAAACCAAAACCUAGAACAGGCAGAGAAAAUCAACAAGGUCAACAGCCACGGCAAAAAGAGAUGGCGUUGGUGGUAGAUCUAGACACAACGAGCAAGGAGGUGUGGAAAAAGAACCUCGCCUGGCCGAUUACUACAACUAAAAGAGAAGAAAAAAGAACAGAUCUGGAGCCCCGGGAUCUAAAACGUCCUGGAGACCUCGCUGCCUGCCGGGUGAACAAGGAGACGAAUAGGGGGGCGGGAGGAAGAGGGCUUGAGACUCGGAGAACCUUACCUUGGCGACGCAAGAACUCGCUCGGAUCUAUGCUUACCUCGCUCGAACUCACGUGAGUGUUUGUGGUUUGCUGGGAUUGGGGCUUUUUCGGCGGGUGGUGGCUGGUGGAAUGUGUGUGGACGAAGGUCGGAGUGGGCGAAAUGGAGGCGGGG
Molecule: long non-coding RNA, 15673 nt
Filed under: Triticum aestivum (bread wheat)
Lineage: Eukaryota; Viridiplantae; Streptophyta; Magnoliopsida; Poales; Poaceae
Description: long non-coding RNA (TAES_LNC007284)
Source: RNAcentral